RNAcentral lists this ribosomal RNA (503 nucleotides) under uncultured bacterium. RNAcentral's name for it is "bacterial SSU rRNA". It matches the Rfam family "Bacterial small subunit ribosomal RNA", at positions 37 to 524 of the family's 1533-position model. The record is from RNAcentral.
GAUAGCUACUACGGCUUACCAUGCAAGUCGAGGGGCAGCAUGGGCUUAGCUUGCUAAGCCCGAUGGCGACCGGCGCACGGGUGAGUAACACGUAUCCAACCUGCCGAUCACUCCGGUACAGCCUUUCGAAAGAAAGAUUAAUCCCGGAUGGCAUGGCGAUUCCGCAUGGUUUCUCCAUUAAAGGUUUUUUUCCGGUGAUCGAUGGGGAUGCGUUCCAUUAGGCAGUUGGCGGGGUAACGGCCCACCAAACCUACGAUGGAUAGGGGUUCUGAGAGGAAGGUCCCCCACAUUGGAACUGAGACACGGUCCAAACUCCUACGGGAGGCAGCAGUGAGGAAUAUUGGUCAAUGGGCGGAAGCCUGAACCAGCCAAGUAGCGUGAAGGAUGACUGCCCUAUGGGUUGUAAACUUCUUUUAUAAGGGAAUAAUUGCGGGUACGCGUACCUGUUUGCAUGUACCUUAUGAAUAAGGAUCGGCUAACUCCGUGCCAGCAGGCGCGGUAAU